AAAGUCUGACCUGCCCUAUGAUAGUAAAAUAUUAAAUGGCCGCGAUAUUUUGAUCGUGCAAAGGUAGCAUAAUCAUUAGUUUCUUAAUUAGGAACUGGAAUGAAAGGUCGAACGAGAAAAAUUCUGUCUCAAUUUAAUUUAAUUAGAAUUUUAUUUUUAAGUAAAAAAGCUUAAAUAAAUUUAAAAGACGAGAAGACCCUAUAGAGUUUUAUAUUUAUGAUUUUUAAGAGGAGGAAUAAGAAUAAUUCUUUUUUAUUAAUUUUAAGUAUUUAGUUGGGGUGACUAAAAAAUUUAAAUAACUUUUUUUAAUAAAGGUAACAUUGAUAUAUGAAUAAUUGAUCCA
This 343-nucleotide ribosomal RNA is filed under the name Oniticellus egregius. Its description in RNAcentral is "partial 16S ribosomal RNA". Lineage: Eukaryota; Metazoa; Arthropoda; Insecta; Coleoptera; Scarabaeidae. The record is from RNAcentral.